Molecule: ribosomal RNA, 406 nt
Filed under: uncultured bacterium
Lineage: Bacteria
Description: partial 16S ribosomal RNA
Rfam family: Bacterial small subunit ribosomal RNA
Source: RNAcentral
AUUGAACGCUGGCGGCAGGCCUAACACAUGCAAGUCGAGCGAGCGGCGGACGGGUGAGUAAUGUCUGGGGAUCUGCCCGAUAGAGGGGGAUAACUACUGGAAAAGGUGGCUAAUACCGCAUACUAUCGGAUGAACCCAUAUGGGAUUGGCUCGUAGGUGGGGUAAAGGCGCACCUAGGCGACGAACUCUAUCUGGUCUGAGAGGAUGAUCAGCCACACUUGGACUUAGCCCCGGCCCAGACUCCUACGGGAGGCAGCAGUGGGGAAUAUUGCACAAUGGGCGCAAGCCUGAUGCAGCCAUGCCGCGUGUGUGAAGAAGGCCUUCGGGUUGUAAAGCACUGUCAGCGAGGAGGCGUUACCGACAGAAGAAGCACCGGCUAACUCCGUGCCAGCCGCCGCGGUAAUAC